CCUACGGGAGGCAGCAGUGAGGAAUAUUGGUCAAUGGGCGUAAGCCUGAACCAGCCAAGUCGCGUGAGGGAUGAAGGUUCUAUGGAUCGUAAACCUCUUUUAUAAGGGAAUAAAGUGUGGGACGUGUCCUAUUUUGUAUGUACCUUAUGAUUAAGGAUCGGCUAACUCCGUGCCAGCAGCCGCGGUAAUACGGAGGAACCGAGCGUUAUCCGGAUUUAGUGGGUUUAGAGGGUGCGUAGGCGGCCUUUUAAGUCAGCGGUGAAAGCUCGGGGCUCAACCAUAGAAUUGCCGUUGAAACUGGGGGGCUUGAGUAUGUUAGAGGCAGGCGGAAUGCGUGGUGUAGCGGUGAAAUGCUUAGAUAUCACGCAGAACCCCGAUGGCGAAGGCAGCCUGCUAAGCCAUGACUGACGCUGAUGCACGAAAGCGUGGGGAUCAAACAGGAUUAGAUACCCGGGUAGUC
Molecule: ribosomal RNA, 460 nt
Filed under: uncultured bacterium
Lineage: Bacteria
Description: partial 16S ribosomal RNA
Rfam family: Bacterial small subunit ribosomal RNA
Source: RNAcentral